This is an RNA transcript of Papaver somniferum (opium poppy), 2021 nucleotides long. It is a transcript of the gene named tRNA-dihydrouridine(16/17) synthase [NAD(P)(+)]-like, with no coding region annotated. The record is from RefSeq and is a predicted model, not a curated record. NCBI's taxonomy places the organism in Eukaryota, Viridiplantae, Streptophyta, Magnoliopsida, Ranunculales, Papaveraceae. The transcript is spliced from 4 exons.
UGGAUCCAUCUCAUUGGCACCCGCAUCCCUAAAUCUAGGCUAAACUGAAACACCACAAACACGGGAAUCUCUGUUUUACUUUUACCAUAGCGGCGAUGGUAUGUUAGUCUCUCAUGAGCUAAUGAAGUUUAAAUUCAAUCAAUCACCACUCAUCUGUUUUUUAUUCUUCAAACCAAACCCUAACCAUCAGAAAUACUCAUCUCAAAUCAACAGAGCUUACAUGGCAACUUCAGUAGUCACUCCAAAUCCACCCUCCAUCGAAGAAGACCUUAACGAUGAUAAACUCUGUUCUAGUAUCAGUAGUUUCUCUCUUAAUGAAACUCAAAACCCACCCGAAUCUGUUUCUGUCUCUUCUUUAGAUAAAGAAGGUCGUAUUGAACGAGCAUGGGCACAUUGGAAGAAAUUAGGUGAACCUAAAUUGAUUGUUGCACCAAUGGUUGAUAAUUCUGAACUUCCUUUUCGGAUGCUUUGUCGUAAGUAUGGUGCUACAGCUGCUUAUACUCCUAUGCUUCAUUCUCGUAUAUUCACCGAGACUGAAAAAUAUCGCACAACCGAAUUUACUACCUGUAAGGAGGAUCGUCCGUUGUUCGUCCAAUUUUGUGCAAAUAAUCCUGAUACCUUACUUGAAGCUGCUCAGGUUGUGGCACCUCAUUGCGAUUAUGUCGACAUUAAUCUUGGAUGCCCACAACGAAUAGCAAGGCGAGGGUAUUACGGGGCUUUCUUAAUGGACAAUCUCCCUCUAGUCAAAUCACUGGUAGAAAAACUGGCGCAGAACCUUCCCGUCCCCGUUUCAUGCAAAAUUCGAGUUUUUCCAAAACUAGAAGAUACACUCGCUUAUGCCAGGAUGCUGGAGGAUGCUGGCUGUGCUCUCUUAGCUGUUCAUGGGCGAACUAGAGAUGAAAAGGAUGGGAGAAAAUUCCGAGCUGAUUGGUCUGCAAUCAAAGCUGUAAAAGAUGCAGUUAGGAUCCCAGUCCUGGCCAAUGGAAACGUACGCCACAUGGAAGAUGUCAAAAAUUGUUUGAAAGACACAGGAGUUGAUGGUGUUCUUUCUGCCGAAACUCUUCUUGAGAAUCCAGCUCUCUUUGCUGGAUUCCGGACAGCAGAAUGGAUUGAGGGCGAGGAAGAAAGUACUAAAGUUGGUGGAAUAGAUCAAGGAGAUUUAUUGGUGGAUUAUUUGAAGCUAUGUGAGAAAUACCCAGUGCCAUGGAGAAUGAUCCGCUCUCAUGUGCAUAAGUUGUUAGGUGAUUGGUUCAAAAUUCACCCAGAGGUGAGAGAAGAUUUCAACAAACAAUCAAUUCUCACUUUUGAGUUCCUCUAUGAUAUGGUGAAUAGGCUCAGAGAUCUCGGAACAACAGUUCCACUUUAUGUGAAGAAUACUGGUCUUGAGGUUUCAGCAAAUAACGAUUCUGAAAACGCAGUACGUGAUUCCUGAGUUUAUUUGAAAACAAAGCCAAGUGCCUAUCAUUUUAGAUGCCUGGCAAAACUGGUGCUAGACAAAAAAUUAGUUGCAGUUCCAGUUAGGUCCACAGACUACAAUUUGGUGCCUCUUACAUUUAUUUGUGACUUCACAAGGUGGCAACUAGAAAACAAAAAUAUGGGUCAAGUGUGAAGUCAUGCAAGGAAGACGAGUUUGGGAUCUUUCGUGAGAACGUGUCUGCUAUGGAAGUUCAGUUGCUGUGAUGUAAACUCUUCAUUUUUGGGUGGGAACAAAGUUUAUUCUGUUCUUGGUUCUUGGGCCCGCGUUAGAAUUAGAACCAUAAAGAAUGAUAUGAUUAAAUCUUGAUUAUCCCAUGUAUUAUGGAGAUUUUAGUGGGUUGCUUUAGUGGUGUUAGUGGUUGAAUUGAAAUGUGUAUGUGAUUUAAACCCAAUCAAAGAUCACGGACCUAUUGAAGGCGCACUGAUAGUACUCCAGUAGGUAGUAAAUGCCCCAUUUAUGUUUUAGGUUGUUGAUUGCAUUACUGAGUGAUAAAAGCUUAAAUUCCACAACUGAGAAAGAAUAAUAAAAACCACAAACAGUUCUU